AUUGAACGCUGGCGGCAUGCUUUACACAUGCAAGUCGAACGGUAACAGGGUGCUUGCACCGCUGACGAGUGGCGAACGGGUGAGUAAUGCGUCGGAACGUGCCGAGUAGUGGGGGAUAACGCAGCGAAAGUUGUGCUAAUACCGCAUACGUACUGAGGUAGAAAGUGGGGGACCUUCGGGCCUCACGCUAUUCGAGCGGCCGACGUCUGAUUAGCUAGUAGGUGAGGUAAAGGCUCACCUAGGCGACGAUCAGUAGCGGGUCUGAGAGGAUGAUCCGCCACACUGGGACUGAGACACGGCCCAGACUCCAACGGGAGGCAGCAGUGGUGAAUUUUGGACAAUGGGCGAAAGCCUGAUCCAGCCAUGCCGCGUGUCUGAAGAAGGCCUUCGGGUUGUAAAGGACUUUUGUCAGGGAGGAAAUCCCUAGUGCUAAUAACACUGGGGGAUGACAGUACCUGAAGAAUAAGCACCGGCUAACUACGCGCCAGCCGCCGCAGUAA
Molecule: ribosomal RNA, 500 nt
Filed under: uncultured bacterium
Lineage: Bacteria
Description: partial 16S ribosomal RNA
Rfam family: Bacterial small subunit ribosomal RNA
Source: RNAcentral